GGAAAAGAAACCAACAGGGAUUGCCCUAGUAACGGCGAGUGAAGCGCACAAUUUGAAAUCUGGCUCCUUCGGGGCCCGAGUUGUAAUUUGCAGAGGACGCCUCGGGUGCGGGUACCUACCGAGUUCCCUGGAACGGGACGCCAUAGAGGGUGAGAGCCCCGUCUGGUAGGACACCCAGCCCAUGUGAGGCUCCCUCGACGAGUCGAGUAGUUUGGGAAUGCUGCUCUAACGGGAGGUAUACUCCUUCCAAGGCUAAAUACCGGCUGGAGACCGAUAGCGCACAAGUAGAGUGAUCGAAAGAUGAAAAGCACUUUGAAAAGAGAGUCAAAUAGCACGUGAAAUUGUUGAAAGGGAAGCGCUCGCUACCAGACUUGGGUUCGGCGGUUCAACCGGGGCCACGCCCCGGGGCACUCCGCCGUCCCAGGCCAGCAUCAGCUUUCCGUCGGGGGCAAAGACGUCGGGAAUGUGGCUCCCCUCCGGGGGAGUGUUAUAGCCCGGCGUGUCAUACCCUUCGGGGGGCUAGACGCGCUUCUGCAAGGAUGCUGGCGUAAUGGUAGCUAGUGACCCG
RNAcentral lists this ribosomal RNA (568 nucleotides) under uncultured fungus. Its description in RNAcentral is "eukaryotic LSU rRNA". It matches the Rfam family "Eukaryotic large subunit ribosomal RNA", at positions 55 to 651 of the family's 3401-position model. The record is from RNAcentral. Lineage: Eukaryota; Fungi.